This 446-nucleotide ribosomal RNA is filed under the name uncultured bacterium. Its description in RNAcentral is "bacterial SSU rRNA". It matches the Rfam family "Bacterial small subunit ribosomal RNA", at positions 329 to 792 of the family's 1533-position model. The record is from RNAcentral.
ACCCAGACUCCUACGGGAGGCAGCAGUGGGGGAUAUUGCACAAUGGGGGAAACCCUGAUGCAGCGACGCCGCGUGGGUGAAGAAGCGCCUCGGCGCGUAAAGCCCUGUCAGCAGGGAAGAAAAUGACGGUACCUGAAGAAGAAGCCCCGGCUAACUACGUGCCAGCAGCCGCGGUAAUACGUAGGGGGCAAGCGUUAUCCGGAUUCACUGGGUGUAAAGGGAGCGUAGACGGCCAUGCAAGCCUGGAGUGAAAGCCCGGGGCCCAACCCCGGGACUGCUCUGGGAACUGUGCGGCUGGAGUGCGGGAGGGGCAGGCGGAAUUCCUGGUGUAGCGGUGAAAUGCGUAGAUAUCAGGAGGAACACCGGCGGCGAAGGCGGCCUGCUGGACCGCGACUGACGUUGAGGCUCGAAAGCGUGGGGAGCAAACAGGAUUAGAUACCCCGGUA